This 423-nucleotide ribosomal RNA is filed under the name uncultured bacterium. Its description in RNAcentral is "partial 16S ribosomal RNA". It matches the Rfam family "Bacterial small subunit ribosomal RNA", at positions 359 to 774 of the family's 1533-position model. The record is from RNAcentral.
GAAUCUUCCGCAAUGGACGACAGUCUGAAGGAGCAACGCCGCGUCAGUGAAGAAAGCCUCCGGUUCUUAAAACUCUGUCGUUAGGGAAUAAUAAGUGACGGAGUCACCGCCGGCACCCUGACGGUACCUAACAAGAAAGCAACGACUAACUACGUGCCAACAGCCGCGGUAAUACGUAGGUGGCAAGCGUUGUCCGGAAUUAUUGGGCGUAAAGCGCGCGCAGGCGGUUUCUUAAGUCUGAUGUGAAAGCCCCCGGCUCAACCGGGGAGGGUCAUUGGAAACUGGGAAACUUGAGUGCAGAAGAGAAGAGCGGAAUUCCACGUGUAGCGGUGAAAUGCGUAGAGAUGUGGAGGAACACCAGUGGCGAAGGCGGCUCUUUGGUCUGUAACUGACGCUGAGGCGCGAAAGCGUGGGGAGCAAACA